AAGUCGUAACAAGGUUUCCGUAGGUGAACCUGCGGAAGGAUCAUUAACACGUAUCCAAACGUUAAAACCCCCCCCGUGAACCUUCAUCCUGCUCUUGUAACCCGCGUAGUUCGCAAUCUCUGAUAAAUCAUAGCCCGGAAAGUUGUAGUGAUUCAGAGACCUCUGGCUACGUGCGAACAUUGGAACAGUUACAAUCGAGCGGUAGUUCUAUAGGCAAUGUUUCCCCAAGCACACUCGGGCAGGAGCUUUGCCAAAGGGUCCCCAUGCCCCCUAAUAACCCCACAGUUUAAUGUGAAGCUCAAUGUAAUACAUUGGGUAAAAAAACCGAACAACUGUUAACAAUGGAUAUCUUGGUUCUC
This 359-nucleotide unclassified non-coding RNA is filed under the name fungal sp. RNAcentral describes it as "partial internal transcribed spacer region". The stretch from base 1 to 46 matches the Rfam family "Eukaryotic small subunit ribosomal RNA", at positions 1786 to 1831 of the family's 1831-position model. The record is from RNAcentral. Lineage: Eukaryota; Fungi.